UAGCGACGGGCAACGCGGGCAAGAUGGCGGCACUGGUGGCGGCGGAGGCCGCGGCGCCUCCGGGCCCGGCCGAGGCGGCCGAGACGGCCGAGGCGGCGGAGCUGAGCCGCGCCCUGAGCCGCCUGCUGCCCGGGCUUGAGGCCGACAGCAAGCUGAGCCGGCGGCGCGCGCUCGAGGCGCUGCAGCGCGCAAUCGAGGCGGCGUGGCCCGAGGAGCCCGCCGCCGAGUCCGCCGCCGCGGCCGCAGGCUUCCAGGGCCCGUGGGCGCGCCUGCUGCUGCCGCGCCUGCUGCGCUGCCUGGCCGACCCGGCGGAGGGCUGCCGCGCGCUGGCGGCGCACUUGCUGGGCCUGGGCCUGCGGCGCGCCGCGCGGCCCCGCGACGCCCUGCCGCGCCUGCUGCCGGCGCUGGUCGCGCGCCUGGCCGGCCCCGAGUCCGAGCGCGGCCGGCCGCCCGAGACCUGCGAGGAGCUGCGCUUGGCGCUCGUGCAGCUGCUCGGCCUGGCCGUGCGCCUGGGCGGCGCCGCGCUCGCGCCCCACCUGGACGACGCCGUGAGGGUGCUGCGCUGCACGCUGCUCGACCCGUUCGCCGCCGUGCGCCGCGAGAGCUGCCAGUGCGCCGCCAGCCUGGCGCGCGCCACGCCAGACCACUUCCACAUGCAGUCGGAGUCCUUGAUCGGCCCCCUGAUGCAGAGCAUCUCACACCAGCACUGGAAGGUGCGGGUGGCUGUCAUCGAGGCCACCGGCUCUGUGAUCCAGUUUGGCAGCGGGAAGUCGGUGGACGACGUCCUCCCUCACUUUGCUCAGAGGCUCUUCGAUGACGUCCCCCAGGUGCGGCAGGCGGUGACUUGUGUGGUGGGGGGCUGGCUGCUGGACCUGCGGGACCGCUACUCCUUCUUCCACAAGCUGAUCCCGCUGUUGCUUAGCAACCUCGAGGACGACAUCCCUGAGAUCGCGCUCGCAGCCGCCAGCCUCUGGGAGAAGGUGGGCCUGCAGUGGCAGAGGGAGAACGAAGACGACCUCAAAGAUAAGCUGGACUUCGCCUCGCCCCCUCCAGCCCACCACCCCUCGCCAGACAACCGCCCCGGGUUGGGCUGUCGGGAGCUCGUCUUCAGAAACCUCUCCAAGAUCCUUCCCGCCAUCUGUCAUGACGUCACGGACUGGGUGGCGGGGACCAGGGUGAAGGCCGCGCAGCUGCUGGCCGUGCUGCUGCUGCACGCCGAGGACCACGUCACGCAGCACCUGGAGGUCGUCCUGCGAACCCUGCGCCGGGCCUGUGCCGACGACGACAGGGCCGUGGUCCGCAGCUGCAUCCGAUCUGCCGAGCUGGUCGGGGCGUUCGUCAGCCCGGAGGUGUUUCUGAAGCUGGUUCUGCCCGCGCUGAAGAAGUCGCCCUCCCCCUCGGGCCUCCUGAUCCUUGCGUCCAUCGUCAGAGGCUGCCCUAGGGAGGCCCUCCGGCCGCACCUGACGCUCGUCGCUACGGAGCUGGCCCGGCCCCACAUCUGUCAAGGCUCUGAAAAUCACCUCUACGGGGAGCACCUGCUGCUGUGCGUGCGGACUCUGGUCUCCGUGUGCCGCGAAGACUGCAGACGGUGCAGCUUACAGCUCUUGGAGGUGCUGGUGACCAUAGAGGCGCUCUGGGGUGCCACAGACCUCGGCGACAAGGUCCGGGAGACCAUGGACGCGCUGGCCGCGGCACAGGACAUGGACGGCCGCCAGGAUCUGUACCGGGAGCACGCGGGCCCCCUCGUGGAGUGGCUCGCCGCGUCGCACCACGACUGGACCGUCCACUCAGCAGAGCUUCUGCAGUUCGUCGUGGUGGUCAACCACGCAGGCCCGGCGCUGGGAGAAGUCCUCCCCCACCUGGUGCCCGUCCUCAGGAGCUGCCUCCAGCCCGCCCGGGACCCGCAGAUGCGCCUGCGGCUCUUCCCCUCCCUGUCGCGGGUGCUGCUGAGCGCAAAGCAGACGGUCGACUCCCAGGGGCACUUUCACCACUACCUCGACACUGUGACGAAGGACAUCUUGGUCCCCAAUCUGCAGUGGCACGCAGGGAAGACGGCUGCAGCCAUCCGCACGGCAGCCGUGUCCUGCCUCUGGGCGCUCAUCAGCAGUGAGGUCCUGUCGGACGAGCAGAUCCGGAAAGUUCAGGAGACGCUGAUGCCGCAGAUUCUAACCUCCCUGGAAGAAGAUUCCCAGAUGACUCGAUUAAUUUCGUGCCAAAUCAUCAACACAUUUCUAAAGACCUCCGGUGGUGUGGCUGAUGCCGAUAAGCUCAUCAAGGUUUAUCCUGAGCUCCUGAAGCGUCUGGACGACGUCUCCCAUGAAGUGAGGCUCGCGGCCACCUCCGCCUUGGUCACGUGGCUGGCGUGUGUCAGAAGCGACGACGAUGUGAAGUCCUGCUACCAGAGCCACAUUCAGUUCCUGUACAGAGAGCUCCUCGUGUACCUCGAUGACCCGGACAGCACUGUCCAGGAUGCGGUUUUAGAGGUCCUCAAAGCAGGCAGUGUCCUGUUCCCUGAGCUCCUGGCUAGAGAGACAGAGGCUGUCAUCCACAAGCACCGCUCUCCUGCCCUCUGCCAGCAGCUGCUACAGCACCUGCAGGCCCAGCCGCCUGCCCAGUGAGCAGCAGCCAGCGCGGAGCGAGCCCCGAGCUCCCGUCCUCGCCGGGGCCGGGGCCGGGGCCUCUCCACCUCGCAACACGGCACCUUUGUGUCAACGACCUAGGACACUCACAGGCAAGACUUUGAUAGCAAGAGCAUUGCAGGAAACGUGUGGUGUGCAAGAUUCCCCCAAGACACUUCUCGGGCCCGGCAGUUUCUGAAGUAACAUUCGCUGAGCGGCUUCUGUGCUGUCAUGUCUCAUUUAUUACAGCCCGUUGACAGAUCUCCCCAAAAUCUGCGGGUAAUUUGAAAGUAGAACGAGAUGGCACCUGCUCACCCUGGCAGCCAAAGCAUCCUGUUUGUUUCAAAGCUACGUGCACCUGCUACGCUCGUGGAUCUCAUCUCCCGGCGACCCCCGCCCCGAGAUCUGGGUGGUGGGCCCCAGGCUCUCCCACUGCUCGGUGCAGUGUCCUCUCUGGACACCAGGUGGCAGGAGCUCCAAACCCCGUCACGAGGCCGGCCGCCAAGCUCCUGGGGCCCUCCGCGGGCGCGCCUGAGUGUGCAGCGCAGGCAGGGAAAGCGGGCCUGGAGAGGCAGCGGGAUCCAAACCACGCCGGCCGCCAGGGAGAGGCAGGACGUUGUUUCUGCACAUCUUCAAGGGGAAGUGUGCAGAGGCAGCAGGACAGUGAGUCAGUACCACUCGUGUGACAUGAGCAGGUGUGUGUCCAGAGAAAGACACAGAGGCUCAGCUGACGGGGUUAGCGAUCUAAGUGCCUGAGAACCGACGUGUCCUUGGCAAGUGUUAUGCACUCUUCGCUCAACUCCUCAAAUGUUCAUGGAGCCCUACCCUCCCUGUGCUGGUGGCCGAAGACAGGGACACGUAGAAUUUGGUCCCUGAGGGGUGUCUGGGGGUCUCAGCCAGUUAAGCGUCCAACUCUUGAUUUCGGUUCAGGUCAUGAUCUCACAGUUUGUGGGAUCGAGCCCCGCAUUGGGCUCAGUGCUGACGGUGUAGAGCCUGCUUGGGAUCCUCUGUCUCUCUUUCUCUCUCUGCCCCUCCCCUUUUAGCACUCUCCCUCUCUCUCUCAA
Acinonyx jubatus (cheetah) is the source of this 3682-nucleotide RNA transcript. It is a transcript of the gene named dynein axonemal assembly factor 5, with no coding region annotated. The transcript has 14 exons. The record is from RefSeq and is a predicted model, not a curated record. Lineage: Eukaryota; Metazoa; Chordata; Mammalia; Carnivora; Felidae.